RNAcentral lists this transfer RNA (67 nucleotides) under Ips sexdentatus. RNAcentral describes it as "tRNA-Tyr". Lineage: Eukaryota; Metazoa; Arthropoda; Insecta; Coleoptera; Curculionidae. The record is from RNAcentral.
GAUGAAAUGACCGAAGUUUAGGUGGUAAAUUGUAAAUUUACUUAUGAAAAAUAUUUUUCUUUCAUCA